UCUUCAUUUCACGUGCUCUCUCACCGGCCAGAGAGGCGAGAGAGUGUGCGGAUUGAGGAGA
Molecule: microRNA precursor, 61 nt
Filed under: Pristionchus pacificus
Lineage: Eukaryota; Metazoa; Nematoda; Chromadorea; Rhabditida; Neodiplogasteridae
Description: mir-8364 microRNA precursor family
Rfam family: mir-8364 microRNA precursor family
Source: Rfam by way of RNAcentral